UUUGGAAUUUUGGACAAUGGACGAAAGUCUGAUCCAGCGACGCCGCGUGGACGAUGAAGGCCUUCGGGUUGUAAAGUCCUUUUGCUCGGGAACAAUUUUUGAGCGUACCGAGAGAAUAAGAGGUUGCUAACUCUGUGCCAGCAGCAGCGGUAAUACAGAGACCUCAAGCGUUAUCCGGAAUCAUUGGGCGUAAAGCGUACCGAUAGGUGGUUGUAUAAGUCAGAAGUGAAAUCUCCGAGCUUAACUCGGAAUCUGUCUUUUGAAACUAUACAACUAGAGGGGCAAAGAGGAAGCUGGAACGAACGGUGUAGUAGUGAAAUGCGUUGAUAUCGUUCGGAACACCGAUAGCGUAGGCAGGCUUCUGGGUGCCACCUGGCACUGCUAGGACGAAAGCGUGGGGAGCGAAUG
This 408-nucleotide ribosomal RNA is filed under the name uncultured bacterium. RNAcentral's name for it is "bacterial SSU rRNA". It matches the Rfam family "Bacterial small subunit ribosomal RNA", at positions 355 to 774 of the family's 1533-position model. The record is from RNAcentral.